GUCCCAGCCGUAAACGAUGGACGCUAGGUGUGGGGGAACAUCCCUCCGUGCCGAAGCCAACGCAUUAAAGCGUCCCGCCUGGGGAGUACGGCCGCAAGGCUAAAACUCAAAGGAAUUGACGGGGGCCCGCACAAGCAGCGGAGCAUGUGGCUUAAUUCGAAGCAACGCGAAGAACCUUACCAGGGCUUGACAUACCGGUGAAGCCGGAGAGAUCCGGUGGCCGAGAGGAGCCGAUACAGGUGGUGCAUGGCUGUCGU
Molecule: ribosomal RNA, 257 nt
Filed under: uncultured bacterium
Lineage: Bacteria
Description: partial 16S ribosomal RNA
Rfam family: Bacterial small subunit ribosomal RNA
Source: RNAcentral